This 253-nucleotide ribosomal RNA is filed under the name uncultured bacterium. RNAcentral describes it as "partial 16S ribosomal RNA". It matches the Rfam family "Bacterial small subunit ribosomal RNA", at positions 524 to 776 of the family's 1533-position model. The record is from RNAcentral.
UACGUAGGUGGCAAGCGUUAUCCGGAAUUAUUGGGCGUAAAGCGCGCGCAGGCGGUUUCUUAAGUCUGAUGUGAAAGCCCACGGCUCAACCGUGGAGGGUCAUUGGAAACUGGGGAACUUGAGUACAGAAGAGAAAAGCGGAAUUCCACGUGUAGCGGUGAAAUGCGUAGAGAUGUGGAGGAACACCAGUGGCGAAGGCGGCUUUUUGGUCUGUAACUGACGCUGAGGCGCGAAAGCGUGGGGAGCAAACAGG